GAUGAACGCUGGCGGCGUGCCUAAUACAUGCAAGCCGAGCGAACAGACGAGGAGCUUGCUCCUCUGACGUUAGCGGCGGACGGGUGAGUAACACGUGGAUAACCUACCUAUAAGACUGGGAUAACUUCGGGAAACCGGAGCUAAUACCGGAUAAUAUAUUGAACCGCAUGGUUCAAUAGUGAAAGACGGUUUUGCUGUCACUUAUAGAUGGAUCCGCGCCGCAUUAGCUAGUUGGUAAGGUAACGGCUUACCAAGGCAACGAUGCGUAGCCGACCUGAGAGAGGGAUCGGCCACACUGGAACUUACACACGGUCCAGACUCCUACGGGAGGCAGCAGUAGGGAAUCUUCCGCAAAGGGCGAAAGCUUGACGGAGCAACGCCGCGUGAGUGAUGAAGGUCUUCCGAUCGUAAAACUCUGUUAUUAGGGAAGAACAAAUGUGUAAGUAACUAUGCACGUCUUGACGGUACCUAAUCAGAAAGCCACGGCUAACUACGUG
RNAcentral lists this ribosomal RNA (497 nucleotides) under uncultured bacterium. Its description in RNAcentral is "partial 16S ribosomal RNA". It matches the Rfam family "Bacterial small subunit ribosomal RNA", at positions 28 to 507 of the family's 1533-position model. The record is from RNAcentral.